Molecule: transfer RNA, 73 nt
Filed under: Felis catus (domestic cat)
Lineage: Eukaryota; Metazoa; Chordata; Mammalia; Carnivora; Felidae
Rfam family: tRNA
About the family: Transfer RNA (tRNA) molecules are approximately 80 nucleotides in length.
Source: Rfam by way of RNAcentral
ACCUGGCUGGCUCAGUCCAUAGAACAUGGGACUCUUGAUCUCGAGGUUAUGAGUUCAAGCCCCAUGUUGGGUA